GGUGCAAAAUAAGGGGUGGGCAAGUCUGGUGUCAGCCGCCGCGGUAAUACCAGCACCCCGAGUGGUCGGGACGAUUAUUGGGCCUAAAGCAUCCGUAGCCUGUUCUGCAAGUCCUCCGUUAAAUCCACCUGCUCAACAGAUGGGCUGCGGAGGAUACUACAGGGCUAGGAGGCGGGAGAGGCAAACGGUACUCAGUGGGUAGGGGUAAAAUCCUCUGAUCCACUGAAGACCACCAGUGGCGAAGGCGGCUUGCCAGAACGCGCUCGACGGUGAGGGAUGAAAGCUGGGGGAGCAAACCGGAUUAGAUACCCGGGUAGUCCCAGCUGUAAACGAUGCAGACUCGGUGAUGGGUUGGCUUCGAGCCAACCCAGUGCCGCAGGGAAGCCGUUAAGUCUGCCGCCUGGGGAGUACGGUCGCAAGACUGAAACUU
RNAcentral lists this ribosomal RNA (430 nucleotides) under uncultured crenarchaeote. RNAcentral describes it as "bacterial SSU rRNA". It matches the Rfam family "Archaeal small subunit ribosomal RNA", at positions 427 to 857 of the family's 1478-position model. Lineage: Archaea; Thermoproteati; Thermoproteota. The record is from RNAcentral.